GACGAACGCUGGCGGCGUGCCUAAUACAUGCAAGUCGAGCGAACUAAGAGGUGCUUGCACCUCUUAGUUAGCGGCGGACGGGUGAGUAACACGUGGGCAACCUGCCUGUAAGACUGGGAUAACAUCGGGAAACCGAUGCUAAUACCGGAUAAUCCUUUUCCUCUCAUGAGGAAAAGCUGAAAGACGGUUUCGGCUGUCACUUACAGAUGGGCCCGCGGCGCAUUAGCUAGUUGGUGAGGUAACGGCUCACCAAGGCGACGAUGCGUAGCCGACCUGAGAGGGUGAUCGGCCACACUGGGACUGAGACACGGCCCAGACUCCUACGGGAGGCAGCAGUAGGGAAUCUUCCGCAAUGGACGAAAGUCUGACGGAGCAACGCCGCGUGAACGAUGAAGGCCUUCGGGUCGUAAAGUUCUGUUGUUAGGGAAGAACAAGUAUCGGAGUAACUGCCGGUACCUUGACGGUACCUAACCAGAAAGCCACGGCUAACUACGUGCCAGCAGCCGCCGUAAGAC
This 515-nucleotide ribosomal RNA is filed under the name uncultured bacterium. RNAcentral's name for it is "bacterial SSU rRNA". It matches the Rfam family "Bacterial small subunit ribosomal RNA", at positions 28 to 526 of the family's 1533-position model. The record is from RNAcentral.